This is a long non-coding RNA of Triticum aestivum (bread wheat), 527 nucleotides long. RefSeq lists it as uncharacterized. The record is from RefSeq and is a predicted model, not a curated record. The transcript is spliced from 3 exons. NCBI's taxonomy places the organism in Eukaryota, Viridiplantae, Streptophyta, Magnoliopsida, Poales, Poaceae.
GUUGGGCGCAUAUUAUGUGGAGACAGCCAACCAGCAACCUCUCGGACGUAAAUGGAACACGAUGCCCAGCAGAAGCACGCACGCAGCCCCUUUGUUUCCUGGCAGCUCGAUCGACAGGAUUUGACGGCAGCAUCACGCAGGUCGUAGCUUCGUGCGAUAUUUCUACCCAUCACCUGCUCGAGUCUCCGCCAACCGCCGCCGGCAGAAAUUUUCUCCUGCCUCCAAGCAAAGAUCGGAAGGGGACUGAUCGAGGUUUAGCAGGACUGCAUAGGUUCAGUUAUGUUUGUGUAGAUGUGAAGAUGAAGAGAACAAUGAAAAACAGUUGCUUAUGGCAUUUGCGUCCAACCCUUCAAGCCUUCAAUCCCCAAUCUAUCAUAUCACCGUCAUCCAACAUAAAGAGGAUUAGGGAAAGCACCACCAAGAGCGACCAAUGAUCUGACGACAUACCACAUCCCAUAUGCCUAUAUGCUUCUUCGGCAGUCCCGGAGCUUUUGUGGUGAAUUUUCUCCAAACCCUUCCAGACAAAG